RNAcentral lists this ribosomal RNA (253 nucleotides) under uncultured bacterium. Its description in RNAcentral is "partial 16S ribosomal RNA". It matches the Rfam family "Bacterial small subunit ribosomal RNA", at positions 524 to 776 of the family's 1533-position model. The record is from RNAcentral.
UACGUAGGGUGCAAGCGUUAAUCGGAAUUACUGUGCGUAAAGCGUGCGCAGGCGGUUUUGUAAGUCUGACGUGAAAUCCCCGGGCUCAACCUGGGAAUUGCGUUGGAGACUGCAAGGCUAGAAUCUGGCAGAGGGGGGUAGAAUUCCACGUGUAGCAGUGAAAUGCGUAGAGAUGUGGAGGAACACCGAUGGCGAAGGCAGCCCCCUGGGUCAAGAUUGACGCUCAUGCACGAAAGCGUGGGGAGCAAACAGG